CCUAAAUGUGAGACAAUUGUGAAAAGUGGAGGACAGAGCCACCUGGUUAAAUACAGCCCCAGCUUUCUGGUGAGAGGACUGAAACCAAGAUGUGUCAAGUAACUAGAAUGUGCCUGGACAGAUACUGUAGAAAGCAAAACCAUAAAGUUGUUCAUGAGCUUGUGGACGCACCUGCCAGCUGUGAAUAAGUGGCUCUAAUCCCGAACAACUUACCUAAAAAGAGCCUGAGAGCUGAACUGUGCAAUGGCCCACUUUCCAGUCCUCACUGACCACUGGGUUGCACACACUUUGGAGAUCUCUGAACAGCAGUGUCAAGGCUUUCAAAUAGAGUUAUCUUUGAAACGACAACACAUGAAAGUCUGGUUGGUACUUGGAGCUUAAAUACAAGGCAAUUGUGUGCCUGCAAAAACAAAAAUAGCAAUAUUAUCCUUAAGAUUUCAACAAGACACAGUGUCUCAUCACAUAAUCCAAAGAAGUCCAGGUUACAAGCCCCACAAUAUUCAGCAUUAUGAAAAAACAGGGAGAUCUUAAUUCACAUGGCAAAGAGAAUCCUCGAAUAACAAUAUUGAGAGGACACAGAUGUCAAAAUCAUCUGACACAUACAUUAAAGCAGAUAUUAUAACAAUGCUCCUAGAAUCGGGGAUAACAUUCGUGAAGUGAAUGGAAAGUUGGAAAGUCUCACCAAAUAUUUCGAAUACAUAAACACCAAUUUAAACUUAAGAAUUAAAAAAAUGUAUUAACCAAAACUCUUAGGGGAAAUAAAAAGCUUAAUUGGAGGAUCUCCAUAAUCGAAUGCAGAAGACUAAGGAAAAAGUCAAUGAACUUGAAAACAGAACACGAAUACCUACAUAAUCUGAACUAUAGAGAGAAAGGAGGAUUUUAUUGUCUCUGAACAGAGGCUCAGGCACAAAUAAAAAAUAACAAAUCCAACAUUCACAUUAUUGUAAUCUGGAAAGAAGAGGACAAAGUGGUCUUUGUGGGAUAAAACUUUGAACAAUUAAUAGCUGAAAAUGGUUCAAAUUUGUCAAAAGAUAUAAACCAGAUUUUUAAAGUUCAGUAAAUGUCAAUCAGGAUAAACCCAAAGAAACCCAUAGCAAGGCAUAUCAUAAUCAAACUGCUGAAAACUAAGAAAAUACAAAACAAUUUUGAAAGCAGCCAAAGGGAAAUGAAAGAGAAACUACCAAAUGAAUGAUUGUAGAUUUCGCAUCAGGAACCAUAGGGGCCAGAAAAAAUGUCAUAACAUUCGGAGACUACGGAAAAGAAGAGUGACUAAGAUCUCUGAAGAAGGGAAAAGCUAGAUGACUGGGCCACAAGAGAAAAAAAGCAGCAAGACAGAGAUUUGUUGGUGCCAACUAAAUGAGCCCAACAGCCAGUGACAACAGAACUGCACUAAAAAAAGUCCCUCAUCAGCUCUUGAGAGCAGGUUCCUUAAAGGUGAACAAUAUUCCACAUACAAGGACUUUUUCAGCACCAUGCAUUAGAAAUGGAAGUGAAUGUUUAUUAUUUUUUGUAUAAGUUGGUUGAUACGGCUUUUCAGCUUCCCUCAGUAUCAUUAUCCAAAUUUUGUAGAUGACACUAAAGCUCAGAGGAGUUAAACCAUUUUCCUCAAAUCACAUAGCUUUAAAUAGGAAAACCAGAUAUGAAAAGCAGAUUUUUUUCUAAAUUAAAAAAAAAAAAAAAACUUGAGCUCUUGCUUUACCCUAGCACAUAGUCUCACCAUCUGUUUUCUCCAUGCCAGGUCAUUCAUGUAACAUUCAUUCACAUAACAAAUACAAAUAAAUGAGUGGAUUCAUUCAUCAGCUAUUAAUUCAGAAUCUCUUUUGUGUCUACCACACUAGGCUCAAGACUUCCCAGUGUCUUUGUCUCCUCUCCCUCAAAUCUCUCCACCCAAUGUCUUGACAAAUACUGUAGAUCCUUCCUGCACAGCAUCACCAGAAUGUUUUUCUUUCUUUUCAUUCACCUCUGUCAUCAUCCAUGCUAUGGUGUUUAUGGAGGAUGUAUUCUGCAGCAGGAAGUGUGAUGGGCACUGACGCUGCAGAAAGACUCCUGUUGUCCACCUCGGGAGCUGACACGAUAAAUGCGGGUAAAUCUCAAUCCUUUAAUAUCUUUAUGACUUCUUUCUCUUUCUCUUCAAUUUCUAUUUUCUCAUGUUCAAGCUCUGACAUUCAAAACUAAACACCUUUCUCUAACAUGUUGCUUUAAUUAUUUAAGCAUUCUGCCUGGGAUUUUUUCAAUUACUCUUGGGAGUUUUCAUAAAACUCUACCAACAUAUCUCCAAGUGGCCAGGCUUUUCAAUCACUGCUUCCCUCCGUGUGUAUUUCACACACACACACACACACACACACACACACACAGCACUUAAAUUGAACAGGUUUAUUUCUUCACACAGGAAUUCCUACGAACAGCCCGGUUUUCUCCACCAUAUGUCCACUCCUUCUCUGCAUAGCUGAAUUUUGAUUCUUACACUCUAAUAUUUUACAUAUUCUUACACUCUGAUAUGAUCUUGUCUCUUAUUCUUUAUGGCUCUGCUCUGUAAUUUUGUUGUUGUUGUUCUGAGAUAUAGUUGGACAUGUAACUUGUACAUGACACACCUUAGCAAGGAGGCAACCUAUAUCUCAGAUGCAAGUGAAAGAAGCACUCCCCAGGGGUUUCCUAAGGUAGUGGUCAGCACGCUGGCUUCAUUCCUGAAAGGGCCUAGUUAUGAAAACAACAGGAGCUUUUUGCCUUCCAGAAAUCUGUACCAUCUCAAAAUCCCCAGAGAGUCUCAGCUACAAGGAACAAGUGAUAAUACUAUCUCACUUUUAUAAACACACACACACAACACACACACACAAAAUCAUUUAAUCAUUUUUAAUUAUUUAAUCAUUUUUUAAAAAUCAGUGACACUUUAGAUGGGCAGGUCUAGGCAGGGCCUCCUUUCCUGGAAUGUGCCUUUUUCUGUCCCGGAAUACCCUAAACUUGACAUUUUGGCAGUGUGAGUUUUCCCUUUUUGACUUUCUCCUUGUUCCCUUUCCUCUUCCUUCUUUGCAGAGAAUGAGUAGCCACUGCACCUUGCCCUGGGCCAUCAGUGAGAAGAUCUGCUCUUAGUAGAGCCCUGCUUUCCCGCUGAAGGCCCUGAAAUCCCCUGUGUUCCAGGCCACCCACUAAGGAUCAAUAAAGCUCCCCUGAUGUGGGGGAAUUAGCUCAAGUGGUAGAGCGCUUGCUUAGCAUGCAAGAGGUAGUGGGAUCGAUGCCCACAUUCUCCAAACUUUAUUAUUUAGACCCUGGGUCUCCAAACACUCAGGUCUCCAAACCCAAGUCAGAGAACAGGAUGCUGCUUUGGUUCAAGAUGUAGGAGCAGCAACAAUACAGGGCUGGUGACGGCUCCCUCCUGGCAUUCAGUAUAGUGUAGAUCUACCGUGUAAUUAAUUUUCUGCUUCUUUGAGGAGCUGUGAAACCAAGGGACAUAAACAAUUGCUCUUUUCUCCCUGUUUCUGCCUGUAGCUUGAAUGUGAGGCAACUGUGAAAAGUGCAGGGCAGAGCCACCUGGGUAAAUACAGCCCUGGCUUUCUGGUGAGAGGACUGAAACCAGGAUGUGUCAAGUAACUAGAAUGUGCCUGGACAGAUACUGUAGAAAGCAAACCCAUAAAGUUGUUCAUGAGCUUGUGGACGCACCUGCCAGCUGUGAAUAAGUGGGUCUAAUCCCAAACAACUUACCUAAAAAGAGCCUGAGGACUGAACUAAACAAUGGUCCGCUUUCCAGUCCUCACUGACCACUGGUUGCACACACUCCAGAGAUCUCUCAUCCGCAGUGUCAAGGCUUUCAAAUAGAGUUAUCUGUGAAACAACAACACAUGGAAGUCUGGUUGGUACUUGGAGCUUAAAUACAAGGCAAUUGUGUGCCUGCAAAAACAAAAAGAGCAAUAUUAUCCUUAAGAUUUCAACAAGACACAGUGUCUCAUCACAUAAUCCAAAGAAGUCCAGGUUACAAGCCCCAAAAUAUUCAGCAUUAUGAAAAACCAGGGAGAUCUUAAUUCACAUGGCAAAGAGAAUCCUUGCAUAACAAUAUUGAGAGGACACAUAUGUCAAAAUCAUCUGACACAUACAUUAAAGCAGUUAUUAUAACAAUGCUCCUAGAAUUACGGGAUAGCAUUCAUGAAGUGAAUGGAAAGUUGGAAAGUCUCACCAAAUAUUUGGAAUAUGUAAACACCAAUUUAAACUUAAGAAUUAAAAAAAGUAUUAACCAAAACUAUUAGGGGAAAUAAAAAGCUUAAUUGGAUGAUCUCAAUAGCAGUAUGCAGAAGACUAAGGAAAAAGUCAAUGAACUUGAAAACGGAACAAGAAUACCUACAGAAUCUGACCUAUAGAAAGAAAGGAGGAUUUUAUUGUCCCUGAACAGAGGCUCAGGGACAAAUAAAAAAUAACAAAUCUAACAUUCACAUUAUUGUAAUCUGGAAACAUUCACAUUAUUGUAAGAGGACAAAGAGGUCUUUGUGGGAUAAAACUGUGAAGAAUUAAUGGCUGAAAAUGUAUCAAAUUUCUCAAAAGAUAUAAACCAGAUUUUUAAAGUUCAGUAAAUGUCAAGCAGGAUAAACCAAAAGAAACCCAUUGCAAGACAUAUCAUAAUCAAACUGCGGAAAAUUAAGAAAACACAAAACAAUUUUGAAAGCAGCCAAAGGGAAAUGAAAGAUAAAAUACCAAAUGAAUGAUUGUAGAUUUCUCAUCGGGAACCCAGGAGCCAGAAAAAAAUGUCAUAACAUUCAGUAAAUACCAAAGGAAAAAUACAUUAUCAACCCAGAAUGGUAUGUGGAGCAAAAGUAUCUUCCAGACAUAAAGGCAAAUAAAUGCAUUCUCAUUGGAAGGUAAAUAAAUACAUUCUCAGUCCUAGCAAAACUGCUGGAAAAGAAUUAGCAAAGGUUUGAGAUAAGAAAAGUGAUACCAGAAGGAAACUUAGAACAUCAUCAAUGAAGGAACAAAAGCAGAAAUAGAAAAUGUCUGGGUAGACAUAACAGACUAUUAUUCUUCUCUUGAGUUCCUUAAGGUAUGUUUGAUGGUUGAAAGCAAAAAUUGUAACUUUAUCUGAUGCAGUUGUCAUUGUAUCUAGAUGUACUACAUACAUAAGAUAAAAGGGUAAAUGUAAUGGGACUAACUCUUGAUGAAGUUUCUAUAUUCAACUUGAAUGGUAAAAUAUUGAUUCUUAGUAUACUGUGAAAAGUUAUAUAUGUAUAUGGUAAUCCCUAGACCACUUAACAACCAGAUUGAAAUAAACCAAAACAAGAUAGACAGAGGAACAUAGAAGAAUUAAAACAAAGGGAAAAAAGGUUAAUAAAUUAUUAAAUAGUAGAUCUAUCUAAAAACUUAUCUAUAAUAACAUUAUAUGUAAAUUAUCUAAAUGCAUUAAGUAAAAACUAGAGAUCAUCAGAAUGUGUUAAAAAUAAAUAUGCUGACUAAAGAAAGCCACCUGCAAUACACUUAUAAAUAAGAAUAAAAGUUAUAGAGCAGAUUGAAAGAAAAGAGUGGGAAAAGAUACCUCAUGCAAGCAUUAAUCAAAGACAGCUGUGGUGUAUAUAUAUAAAAUCAGACAAAGUAGAUUUGAAAGCAGAGAAACUUUUCAGGAAUAAUGAGGCCUCCUAAAUAAUUAUGAUUGUCAAUUUUUCAGGAGAAUAUUGUCCCAAAUGUAUAUGAGGACACAGAGCUUCAAAACUCAUAAACAAAAUUGGAUACGCCAAGUAAAAAUAGAAAAAUCCAGUUAUAGUUGCAGUCAUUAACACUCCUCUCUGAGUAAUUGGAAGAUUUAGUGGAACACAAAUCAACAGACAUACUGGAGAAUUGAACCAUGCCAUCCAGUAAUGGACCUAUCAAUUUCAUAAUGCAAAAUAAAAAUUCAGGUAGAAAGCAAAGACAAAAAUUAAAAGAAAAGCAAGAUCAUGUUAUAAUGAGAAAAUUAAGAGUAGUCCAGUGUAUAGAAGGGUGCUAUUAUUGAAAGAGUUUGAAAUAGUGACUUAGUUAUUUUGAAACAUUUUUGAAGACGUUAUUUAGCUGGAAAUGACAGAAAGACUGAAAAUGGUGAAUGUGGAGGUGGAUCUUCCCUUGUCCAUAUUUAUCUUGUCUUCGUUUGAGGUCUGGGGUGUCUAUACUUCCUCUGAAUUACCUGAUCUUACUACAGUGUCUGGCACAGAGCAUCUCCCCAGUGAAUAUGUACUAAAUGAGUAGAAAGUAAUUGAUAGAUUCAAAAGAGUUGUGCAAGAAUAAUGUUCAUUAUUUGACUAAUCACUGAAUGUGGUGUUUCAAGGAAGACAAUGAAUCAAAGUUGACUUGAAAGGUAAGCCCAGGGCCAGACGUGGUGGCUCAUUUCUGUAAUCCCAGCACUUUGGGAGGCCGAGAUCAGUGGAUCCCUUGACACCAGGAG
This 6388-nucleotide transfer RNA is filed under the name Homo sapiens (human). RNAcentral's name for it is "HSALNT0333392". The stretch from base 3173 to 3245 matches the Rfam family "tRNA". The record is from RNAcentral. Lineage: Eukaryota; Metazoa; Chordata; Mammalia; Primates; Hominidae.